GACGGAGGGUGCAAGCGUUGUUCGGAUUGACUGGGCGUAAAGGGCGUGUAGGCGGUUGGUCAAGUCUGAUGUGAAAGCCCUGGGCUCAACCUGGGAAUGGCAUUGAAUACUACUUGACUGGAGGUUUGGAGGGGGGACUGGAAUUCUUGGUGUAGCAGUGAAAUGCGUAGAUAUGCGGAGGAACACCGAUGGCGAAGGCAAUCCCCUGGGCCUGCACUGACGCUCAUGCACGAAAGCGUGGGGAGCAAACAGG
RNAcentral lists this ribosomal RNA (253 nucleotides) under uncultured bacterium. RNAcentral's name for it is "partial 16S ribosomal RNA". It matches the Rfam family "Bacterial small subunit ribosomal RNA", at positions 524 to 776 of the family's 1533-position model. The record is from RNAcentral.